This 257-nucleotide ribosomal RNA is filed under the name uncultured bacterium. RNAcentral's name for it is "partial 16S ribosomal RNA". It matches the Rfam family "Bacterial small subunit ribosomal RNA", at positions 526 to 779 of the family's 1533-position model. The record is from RNAcentral.
CGAAGGGGCGUAGCGUUGCUCGGAAGUGACUGGGCGUAAAAGGGCGCGUAGGCGGCACACACAGUCAGGCGUGAAAUUCCUGGGCUUAACCUGGGGGCUGCGUUUGAGACGUGUGAGCUAGAGGAUGGAAGAGGCUCGUGGAAUUCCCAGUGUAGAGGUGAAAUUCGUAGAUAUUGGGGAAGAACACCGGUGGCGAAGGCGGCGAGCUGGUCCAUUACUGACGCUGAGGCGCGAAAAGCGUGGGAGCAAACAGGAUU